RNAcentral lists this ribosomal RNA (348 nucleotides) under Triticum aestivum (bread wheat). RNAcentral's name for it is "partial small subunit ribosomal RNA". The record is from RNAcentral. Lineage: Eukaryota; Viridiplantae; Streptophyta; Magnoliopsida; Poales; Poaceae.
AUGGCGCUCUUCAGGGCUUCUACCACCAUCUCCUUGGGCAAUGGGAGAAUAUCCUUAUUCUGGCACGACGAUUGGACAGGACGGGGCCCUCUGUCCCGGGCCUUCCCAGAGCUGUACAAAAUUGCCACCAGGAAGCGGAGAUCUGUGAUGAAGGAGCUCCACGAGGAGAACUGGAUCAGGUCGGUUGCCCGUCUUUCAUCGCCUACCCACCUGCAGGAGAUCAUUGCCCUCGCUUCAGUCAUCACUCAGGUGGCAUUGAACCCAGACCAGGAGGACUCCAUCACUUGGAGGUGGACCCCCAAUGGCAUAUACUCUGCUGCCUCGGACUACGCGGCCCAGUUCUCUUGA